RNAcentral lists this ribosomal RNA (1185 nucleotides) under uncultured Mucilaginibacter sp. Its description in RNAcentral is "bacterial SSU rRNA". It matches the Rfam family "Bacterial small subunit ribosomal RNA", at positions 70 to 1262 of the family's 1533-position model. Lineage: Bacteria; Pseudomonadati; Bacteroidota; Sphingobacteriia; Sphingobacteriales; Sphingobacteriaceae. The record is from RNAcentral.
CGCGAUUGGGGAGCUUGCUCCCCAUGAACCUGGCGCCGGGUGCGUAACGCGUAUGCAACCUACCUUAAUCAGGGGGAUAGCCUCUCGAAAGAGAGAUUAACACCGCAUAAUAUAACCGGAUGGCAUCAUUCAGUUAUCAAAUAUUUAUAGGAUUAAGAUGGGCAUGCGUGACAUUAGCUAGUUGGUAAGGUAACGGCUUACCAAGGCGACGAUGUCUAGGGGAUCUGAGAGGAUGGCCCCCCACACUGGUACUGAGACACGGACCAGACUCCUACGGGAGGCAGCAGUAAGGAAUAUUGGUCAAUGGGCGGAAGCCUGAACCAGCCAUGCCGCGUGCAGGAAGACUGCCCUAUGGGUUGUAAACUGCUUUUGUCGGGGAAUAAACCUUCUUACGUGUAAGAAGCUGAAUGUACUCGAAGAAUAAGGAUCGGCUAACUCCGUGCCAGCAGCCGCGGUAAUACGGAGGAUCCAAGCGUUAUCCGGAUUUAUUGGGUUUAAAGGGUGCGUAGGCGGCCUGUUAGUCGGAGGUGAAACUUGCAGCUCAACUGUAAGCUUGCCUUUGAUACUGAUGGGCUUGAAUAAACUAGAGGUAGGCGGAAUGUGACAAGUAGCGGUGAAAUGCAUAGAUAUGUCACAGAACACCAAUUGCGAAGGCAGCUUACUAUGGUUUAAUUGACGCUGAGGCACGAAAGCGUGGGGAUCAAACAGGAUUAGAUACCCUGGUAGUCCACGCCCUAAACGAUGAAUACUCGAUGUUAGCGAUAUACGGUUAGCGUCUAAGCGAAAGCGUUAAGUAUUCCACCUGGGGAGUACGCCCGCAAGGGUGAAACUCAAAGGAAUUGACGGGGGCCCGCACAAGCGGAGGAGCAUGUGGUUUAAUUCGAUGAUACGCGAGGAACCUUACCCGGGCUUGAAAGUUACUGAAGAUAGCAGAGACGCUAUCGUCCUUCGGGACAGGAAACUAGGUGCUGCAUGGCUGUCGUCAGCUCGUGCCGUGAGGUGUUGGGUUAAGUCCCGCACCGAGCGCAACCCCUAUGUUUAGUUGCCAGCACGUCAAGGUGGGGACUCUAAACAGACUGCCUGUGCAAACAGAGAGGAAGGAGGGGACGACGUCAAGUCAUCAUGGCCCUUACGUCCGGGCUACCACGUGCUACAUGGAUGGUACAGAGGNCGCUACNUAGUAUA